RNAcentral lists this unclassified non-coding RNA (197 nucleotides) under uncultured Inocybe. Its description in RNAcentral is "sequence contains ITS2". Lineage: Eukaryota; Fungi; Basidiomycota; Agaricomycetes; Agaricales; Cortinariaceae. The record is from RNAcentral.
AAUUCUCAACUAUACCAGUUUUUCUGGUGUAGCUUUGGAUGUGGGGGUGUUAUUUUUGCAGGCUUUAGAAAUGAUGUCUGCUCCCCUAAAAUGUAUUAGUAGUAUCUGAGCAGAAACUACUUUAGGUGUGAUAACUAUCUAUACCUCUGUACCACUGCAUAAACAGAUUACACUGCUUCUAACAGUUCUUAUGACAU